This 586-nucleotide ribosomal RNA is filed under the name Goniomonas pacifica. RNAcentral's name for it is "partial Eukaryotic small subunit ribosomal RNA". It matches the Rfam family "Eukaryotic small subunit ribosomal RNA", at positions 1111 to 1719 of the family's 1831-position model. The record is from RNAcentral. Lineage: Eukaryota; Cryptophyceae; Goniomonadida; Goniomonadaceae.
GCUCGGGGGGGAGUAUGGUCGCAAGGCUGAAACUUAAAGAAAUUGACGGAAGGGCACCACAAGGCGUGGAGCCUGCGGCUUAAUUUGACCCAACACGGGGAAACUCACCAGGUCCAGACAUGCUUAGGAUUGACAGAUUGAUAGCUCUUUCUUGAUUGUAUGGGUGGUGGUGCAUGGCCGUUUUUAGUUGGUGGAGUGAUUUGUCUGCUUAAUUGCGAUAACGAACGAGACCUUAACCUGCUAAAUAGCCAGGCCCGCUUUGGCGGGUCGCCGGCUUCUUAGAGGGACUAUCGGCUCAAGCCGAUGGAAGUUUGAGGCAAUAACAGGUCUGUGAUGCCCUUAGAUGUCCUGGGCCGCACGCGCGCUACACUGACACCUGCAACGAGCGUAGAACCUUGGCCGAGAGGCCUGGGUAAUCUUUGGAACGGGUGUCGUGAUAGGGACAGAUUAUUGCAAUUAUUAAUCUCGAACGAGGAAUUCCUAGUAAACGCGAAUCAUCAGUUCGCAUUGAUUACGUCCCUGCCCUUUGUACACACCGCCCGUCGCUCCUACCGAUUGAAUGGUCCGGUGAAGUGUUCGGAUCGCG